CCUACGGUCGGCCGCAGUCGAGAAUCAUUCACAAUGGGGGAAACCCUGAUGGUGCGACACCGCGUGGGGGAAUGAAGGUCUUCGGAUUGUAAACCCCUGUCAUGUGGGAGCAAAUUAAAAAGAUAGUACCACAAGAGGAAGAGACGGCUAACUCUGUGCCAGCAGCCGCGGUAAUACAGAGGUCUCAAGCGUUGUUCGGAAUCACUGGGCGUAAAGCGUGCGUAGGCUGUUUCGUAAGUCGUGUGUGAAAGGCGCGGGCUCAACCCGCGGACGGCACAUGAUACUGCGAGACUAGAGUAAUGGAGGGGGAACCGGAAUUCUCGGUGUAGCAGUGAAAUGCGUAGAUAUCGAGAGGAACACUCGUGGCGAAGGCGGGUUCCUGGACAUUAACUGACGCUGAGGCACGAAGGCCAGGGGAGCGAAAGGGAUUAGAUACCCUAGUAGUC
This 446-nucleotide ribosomal RNA is filed under the name uncultured bacterium. RNAcentral's name for it is "partial 16S ribosomal RNA". It matches the Rfam family "Bacterial small subunit ribosomal RNA", at positions 338 to 795 of the family's 1533-position model. The record is from RNAcentral.